Molecule: long non-coding RNA, 4729 nt
Filed under: Nicotiana tabacum (common tobacco)
Lineage: Eukaryota; Viridiplantae; Streptophyta; Magnoliopsida; Solanales; Solanaceae
Description: long non-coding RNA (NTAB_LNC011189)
Source: RNAcentral
UUAAAACACAACAUUAGCUACACUUUUAAGAAAGGUAGCAACUUUAUUAUGUGUGACACUGUGUCCUUAGUUUCUUCUAAUCUCUAAUUAGUUAUCCAUUAUCUCUUCUUCAAGCAAAGCUGCAGCCAAAGUUUUUGCUUCCUCAACCAAAGUUUCAGCUCCUGUUUUUAUCAUCUUCUCAUCAAACACACAUGGCUUAGUGCAUAGGCACCGUCUGAGGAGUUUGCUACAAUGACCAUCAGUAAAUUUCUCACUGAUACAAGCUUUUCUGCAUGGUGGUUUGGUAAUGCAUAUUCCAGGGAAUGUAUUGCUUUCUGUUUUGCAUUCUCUAGCUUGCACCUCUACAAUCAUUCACAAGUACUUACCAAUGUUAGAACAAAAGAAUAGAUAGAAUUGAAAGAAACCAUUAAAACAUGAAUAUAUUCAAGGUUCUUACAUACAUACAUACAUACUACAUACAUACAUACAUACAUACAUACAUACAUACAUAUGUGUAUAUAUAUAAGGGCAGCCCAGUGCACAAAGGGUCCAGGGAAUCGAGUCGCAUCCCAAAGGGUGUAAUGUAGAUCGACAGCAUACCCUAAAAAAUAUAUUGUCCCUAUACUAUUUGGAAGAACUAAUGCAAACAUAUUUUUUUCAGGAUUUUUCAAACCUUCCAGACGUAUACUAUAGAUUAAUUCGUCAUUUUAACAACAAAUACAUCAAAAAGAUAACCACACUUGAAAAUAUACUUGACAAAUCAUAAGAAGUGUAACUUGAUGUUCAUUAUGAUAGCUAAACCAGUCAUAGCUUUUAUAUUUAUUUUCUUAAAAGCAGAGUUGGGUAAUUAAGUGACUGGAUAGCAAGAAAUAGAAUCAUAUUAUAAAUUAUAUUUAUUAUUUUAUGUGGUUUUGGAGGAAUAAAUAGAGACAAACCAUAGGCAACAAACAGCAUCAUUGCCAAGAUAGCAAAUGCCAUGAAGCACAAGGAGCGAGCCAUAGUCUCUUUGAAUGAUGAAAAAUGAUAGGAAUUUUAAUAAAAAGAAAGAUUGCAAUUCAGAGGUGUGAAAGAACAGUAACUCAAUAGAGGUAUUUAUAGGCGCUGAACUAAGAGUAGAUAAAAUUUAAAGCAAAAAGUAAACAAAUAAAAUGAAAUAAUUAUUGCACUGGAAUUGUUGGUAAUUUGAAGUUUGGAGAUACAUAUUUCUUAUUUUUUUUCUUUUUCUUUUUUGUCUUUAACCAAUGUCCGAUAUUAGGACCUCAACUAGUGUUGAUUCGGCCCGUGUAUAGUAAAAAACAAUAACAUCAAUAAUAAUAACCCAGAAAAUUUUCACUAGUGGGGUCUGGGGAGGGUAGUGUGUAUGUAGACCUUACCCCGACCCUGAAGGAGUAGAGAGGUUGUUUUCGGAAGACCAUCGGCUUAAGAAAAUAAAAAAGACAAAAGGAGAUAAUAUUAGUAUCACCUUAGAAAUCAUAGGAAAAAUAGGAACAACAUGAAAUCCAGAAAAAAGAUGCAAAGCAAAGCAAAAAUUAUAGCUAGUAAAUAGGUCAUGCACUGAAAAGCAAAAAGCGUAAUAGUAAGACACAACGUUGUCACUAUCUGUCUUAGACAAAAAACCUGUCAGCCUAGUCUCACAAAGGUACAAAUUAAGACAAGAAUCAACUACCUUCUAACCUAGAACUCUAAUACCCGUGUAUAGUUAAAAGUACUUCUUAUAACAUGCUCAUGACUUGAAAUCGAGACUUCUAUCUAAGGGUGUAGGAAUCAUAUCGAUUGCACUACCAUUCGUGAUGGUUUAAAAAUAUCCCAAUGUUGUAGCAAAAUUAAAACUUAUUCUAAUGAUAAAUGUUGUUUUAGGCACACUACGACACAAGAGGAGGGUUAACUGGAUAGUUAACACUUAAAAAUUCUUCCAAAGUUUUUUAGAAAUUUGCUUAACCUAUAGUAUCUAGACGAUGGAAUUGGUUCUCAAAUUUGUCCUAGUUACUGCGCAAGUAAUAACAACGCGGAAUUAAGGAAAGAACAACGCACAAACUUUUACGAAAAUACUAUUGUCACUCAAAGGUGUAAAGAUCACGACCUAACCUAAUAGCAUUUAACCCAAACUCCGCUAAAAUAAAGAGCCAUUACUCAUAUUACAACUUUGUAACCUAAGAGAUUAAGUCCAAUCACUUUCCCCAACAAUCACUAGGUUGUUGCCCUUCGAUUUAACUCUAACUUGAAAUAGAUUAUUUGGUAUCCUAAGCUCAAAGAGUCAUAUGGUGCAAAUUAUUCGGUGUACCUUUAUAAAAUCGAGUUUUCAAAUUCCAUGUUUGUCUUGUUGUUUUUUUCUAUCUUUUCCUACAAUUAAACCCGGUGGGUAAUAUAUUCGUUGUAAGAACGUCAAGAUUAAACCCAUCCAAUGUAAAUACUGAAUCUAUCUCUUUAUAAUAAUGCACGGUGCACCCAUCUUCUUAAACUACUGGUUACUCAUCUCUUUCAAUGGCGAAGCCACAUGGUCACAAGGGUGGUUAGUUGACCACCCUUUGUUGAAAAAGUGUACUGUUUAUAUAGAUCAAAUAUUAUAUUUUAGAGGUAUAUAACACAUAUUGAACACCCUUUGUCGGAAAAAAUUCCACUUCUUUCAAAUUUGAAUAUCCUUAAAAAAAUUCCUAGCUUCGGCACUGAUCUCUUCACCAUGAAGCUGAAUCACUUAAUCUACUUGGUUCUUCACAAGUCACACCAAACUUAUGCCAAAAAUUUAAUAGAAGUUAAAGUUGUACAAAUUCAUAUAGUACAAAGAUAAAUUUGAUGUUUUACCAGAACAUAACACUGAGCUCCACUGCUCUCGCAACAGGUGAAGGAAGAGGUUUAAUAUCAACCUUUAUCUUCUUCAUGAAUAUCAAAAUUGUCCAAAUGGCAGAAUCAGAUACUGCAGUUUCAAGUACAGUUUACUUCAUAUGAGUUGAGAACUCAUUCUCACAAUAUAAGAAUGCACAGUUCGGGUCAGAAUUUGAAGUUUAUGAGUUCGAAAUUCUAGCAAUAUAAAAAAACGGAAAAGGCUUAAAACUGCCACUCAACUUUCAGAAAUGGUCUAUCCAUGCUAUCCGUUAAAAAAUGCUCAUUUCAUGCCACUACCGUUACACAUUUGGCCCAUCCAUGCCAUUAUUGACUAACGACUCAAUUUUUAUAUUUAUUUUAAUAUUUAUAACACCCACAUUUUCACGUGUCAUGUCGUUAUUGGUCCGAGUUAACCCAUGCCCCACUUAAUUUUAACCUUGGUUAGGUCCAUCUACCCAAACCCACCCGAUUAAAACAUACCCGAAUCAUUCACCCAACCCAAACUCUUCAUACCAAAUCCCCUUCUCUCCAAUCGUCUUCCCCAAGAUGUAAAUCUUGGCAGUGGUUGUUAUGACGAUGAUGGUGAUGACCACCGUAACAUAUCCGAACACCAUCUCCACUGCCACCGCUUGUCACCGAAAACUUCCACUUUGCAACCUUGUCUUCUUCUUCUUCUUCUUCAAGUAUUUCUUCAUCAUUUUCUUGAAUUGCUUCAAUCACCUCUUCUUCAUCGUCCAGGGGGAAAUCUUCAUUUUCCUCUUAUGUUUCUUCAUCUUCAUCACGAAUGAGAUGUAAUUUCAGUCCUCCAUCUUGGCCAGAAGUAAGGAGAGUUACGAGCCGACCAAUUUUCACCUCUGUCAACUCUAACCUUCUAUCUUUUCUCACCGCACGCAUGAAGAAAUUUGACUUUCCAUCUUGGUUUAAGGACGAUAAUGGCGGCGGAAACUUCUUUUCUUUCUUCUUCGAAUUACAUCUUUGCCAGCACCUUGAACUAAGUGGGGAAGACGACCGGAGAGAAGGGGGUUUGGUAUGAAGAGUUUGGGUUGGGUUAUUGAUUUGGGUAUAUAUUAACCGGGUCGGGUUUGAGUAGGUGGACUUAACCAAGGUUAAAAUUAAGUGGGGCAUGGGUUAAUUCAGACCAAUAACAACAGGACACGUGGAAAUGUGGGUGUUAUAAAUAUUAAAAAAAUAAAAAUUGAGUCGUUAGUCAAUAAUGACAUGGAUGAGCCAAAUGCGUAACGGCAGUGGCGUGAAAUGAGCAUUUGUUUAAUGGAUGACAUGGAUAGACCAUUUCUGAAAGUUGAGUGGCAUUUUUAGGCCUUUUUCGUAUAAAAAAUAAAAAGUUGCGGGUUAAAUAGUAAUAUAAUCAAAUAGUAUUUUCUUUUUAGUAUUUAUGUUAUAUCUCUUCGUUUUAUACACUUUUAAGAAAAAUAUUAAAUAACCCUAAUCAUAAGAGUAUACGUUAGUCAAAAUUUACCUUUUUUUAUACCAUAGAAGGUCAUUUUCAUUACAAAUACACAAAUAAACUUAGUGCAAGAUUGCACAAAGGAUUGAAGUGCCACACUUAUUUAAAGUGUAACAAAAGGCUACUAAAAGCCAAUUAAAACACAGCAUUAGCUACACUUUUAAGAAAGGUAGAAACUUUAUUAUGUGUGACACUGCAUCCUUAAUUUCUUCUAAUCUCUAAUUAGUUAUCCAUUAUCUCUUCUUCAAGCAAAGCUGCAGCCAAAGUUUUUGCUUCCUCAACCAAAGUUUCAGCUCCUGUUUUGAUCAUCUACUCAUCAAACACACAUGGCUUAGUGCAUAGGCACCUUCUGAGGAGUUUGCUACAAUGACCAUCAGUAAAUUUCUCACUGAUACAAGCUUUUCUGCAUGGUGGUUUGGUAAUGCAUAUUACAGGGAAUGUAUUGCUUUCUGCUUUGCAUUCUCU